GGGCGUGUGGCUCAGUUGGUAGAGCGUUCGCUUAGCAUCUUCGCUGGGUGUGUCUCUCAACACCCAGCUUAUGUCCUGCGAAAGGUCCUGGGUUCGAUUCCCAGCCUGUCCA
Molecule: non-coding RNA, 112 nt
Organism: Lasiosphaeria ovina
Lineage: Eukaryota; Fungi; Ascomycota; Sordariomycetes; Sordariales; Lasiosphaeriaceae
Source: the annotation of a GenBank genome assembly